Long non-coding RNA from Salvelinus fontinalis (brook trout), 953 nucleotides. RefSeq lists it as uncharacterized. The record is from RefSeq and is a predicted model, not a curated record. The transcript is spliced from 3 exons. NCBI's taxonomy places the organism in Eukaryota, Metazoa, Chordata, Actinopteri, Salmoniformes, Salmonidae.
UCAUGUUAAGACUGUGAAAGUACUAUUUACUCUACAAUGGUGAGGAGUCCUCAUCAAAAUCAAAAAAUCUCAUUUCUUUUACAGGACCCAGAUGCUAUACAGUGGGAAAACCAGCCUGGCAACAUAGUGCGUAUUAAUAAAAGGACACCACAUCCUGCCAAAUUCCAGCUGCGCUAAUUGUAUUGUGUUCACAGAGCUCACAAGCUAUCAGAAAGUUGUAUGGCAACCACCUCCGGCGCCAAAUAGAACUGUCAGACAUAGAUAUUCAGUACAAGAAGAAAAAGAUGGAAAAUCUUGCACUGGAGUCCGAAAUAAAAAAGAGGACAAUUAGGAAACUGGACCUUGAAAUAAAAAAACUUGAGGGAGCUCCAAGAAGAUGACACAGCUCAAAAUAAAAAUUAGCAAUCAGUACAACCAAGUCAUCGUUAUAAGGCAUCGCCCUCUUUUGCGCACCCCCCCAGCACCAGGUGUGGCCACUAGCCUAUAUGAAGGCCCAAAAUUGUGUGUUCCUUUCUGCUCUGACAAUGGCAUGCCCAUUCGUGCGAGAUGUGGUGGAUGAAGAAGCACUUGUGCUGAGGAGAGCCUUCAGGCGAGAAAGGGUCUUCAGGGACCGGUUGGACCCACUGGCCUUCCCUGAUAACCUGUAUCUUUCAUAUAGAUGGUCUUCUGCAGAUGGCAUCAGGUAUCUAUGCAGACUACUGGGUCCCGUGAUUAAGCACCGCACUGCACGGAGCCAUGCACUGAGUGUGGAGCAAAUGGUUUGUGUGGCCUUGCGCUUUUUUGCUAGUGGAGCCUUCCUGUACUCAGUGGGGGAUGCAGAACAGCUGAACAAGGCCACAAUUUGCCGCACAAUAAGGAGUGUGUGUCUGGCUAUCUAAGCAUUAGCAGAUGUCUUCAUCUCCUUCCCUGGCCACAGAAGACUCUGUGACAUCAAAGAGGAGUUCUAUAGGAUU